AAGAAGGGGAGGCUGAAACCUAUAUAUCUGAGAUUGAGACGAUUGGUCAAGCCUAUGAAGACAUGCAGACGCAGAAUCAACAUCUUCUUCAGCAGAUGGCAGAGCGGGAUGAUUAUAAUAUAAAGUUAGUUUCUGAGAGCGUGAAGAUAAAGCAGGAACAAAGCUCACUUCUCUCACGGAAGCAGGUAUCAACAGCACAACUUCAACAGUCUAAAACAUCACUUGAAUCUCUGAAAAUGAGGAUAACUCAAAGUGAAGACCAGAUGAAAGUUCACAUUACGGAAGCUUUAAGUUAUACCCAAGAAGAUAGACAUCUUGCACUCCUCCUGGAAACUACAAAGAGGGAAUCGGGAGAUGCGGAAAAGGAAUUGAAGUGGCUGAG
This 382-nucleotide unclassified non-coding RNA is filed under the name Hevea brasiliensis (rubber tree). The record is from RNAcentral. Lineage: Eukaryota; Viridiplantae; Streptophyta; Magnoliopsida; Malpighiales; Euphorbiaceae.